UACGUAGGGUGCGAGCGUUAAUCGGAAUUACUGGGCGUAAAGCGUGCGCAGGCGGUAAGUUAAGUCUGAUGUGAAAGCCCCGGGCUCAACCUGGGAAUGGCAUUGGAAACUGGCUUGCUGGAGUGUGGCAGAGGGGGGUGGAAUUCCGCGUGUAGCAGUGAAAUGCGUAGAGAUGCGGAGGAACACCGAUGGCGAAGGCAGCCCCCUGGGCCAUAACUGACGCUGAUGCACGAAAGCUAGGGGAGCAAACAGG
Molecule: ribosomal RNA, 253 nt
Filed under: uncultured bacterium
Lineage: Bacteria
Description: partial 16S ribosomal RNA
Rfam family: Bacterial small subunit ribosomal RNA
Source: RNAcentral